ACGUUCAACCGCAAAACAAGCAGAGGGGGCUUAGUGGUGGGGUGACUGCGUACCUUUUGUAUAAUGGGUCAGCGACUUAUAUUCUGUAGCAAGGUUAACCGUAUAGGGGAGCCGGAGGGAAACCGAGUCUUAAUUGGGCGUUAAGUUGCAGGGUAUAGACCCGAAACCCGGUGAUCUAGCCAUGGGCAGGUUGAAGGUUGGGUAACACUAACUGGAGGACCGAACCGACUAAUGUUGAAAAAUUAGCGGAUGACCUGUGGCUGGGGGUGAAAGGCCAAUCAAACCGGGAGAUAGCUGGUUCUCCCCGAAAGCUAUUUAGGUAGCGCCUCGUGAAUUCAUCUCCGGGGGUAGAGCACUGUUUCGGCUAGGGGGCCAUCCCGGCUUACCAACCCGAUGCAAACUGCGAAUACCGGAGAAUGUUAUCACGGGAGACACACGGCGGGUGCUAACGUCCGUCGUGAAGAGGGAAACAACCCAGACCGCCAGCUAAGGUCCCAAAGUCAUGGUUAAGUGGGAAACGAUGUGGGAAGGCCCAGACAGCCAGGAUGUUGGCUUAGAAGCAGCCAUCAUUUAAAGAAAGCGUAAUAGCUCACUGGUCGAGUCGGCCUGCGCGGAAGAUGUAACGGGGCUAAACCAUGCACCGAAGCUGCGGCAGCGAACGUAUCACUUAAAGCGAUUCAGCGGGUUACGAUUGACGGAGCGAAGCGACGUCAAAGCGUAUACAAAGUCGAGUCGGUUUAAGGAUACGUUCGUUGGGUAGGGGAGCGUUCUGUAAGCCUGCGAAGGUGGCCUGUGAGGGUUGCUGGAGGUAUCAGAAGUGCGAAUGCUGACAUAAGUAACGAUAAAGCGGGUGAAAAGCCCGCUCGCCGGAAGACCAAGGGUUCCUGUCCAACGUUAAUCGGGGCAGGGUGAGUCGACCCCUAAGGCGAGGCCGAAAGGCGUAGUCGAUGGGAAACGGGUUAAUAUUCCCGUACUUGGUGUUACUGCGAAGGGGGGACGGAGAAGGCUAUGUUGGCCGGGCGACGGUUGUCCCGGUUUAAGCGUGUAGGCUGGUUUUCCAGGCAAAUCCGGAAAAUCAAGGCUGAGGCGUGACGACGAGGCACUACGGUGCUGAAGCAACAAAUGCCCUGCUUCCAGGAAAAGCCUCUAAGCAUCAGGUAACACGAAAUCGUACCCCAAACCGACACAGGUGGUCAGGUAGAGAAUACCAAGGCGCUUGAGAGAACUCGGGUGAAGGAACUAGGCAAAAUGGUGCCGUAACUUCGGGAGAAGGCACGCUGACACGUAGGUGAAGUGAUUUACUCAUGGAGCUGAAGUCAGUCGAAGAUACCAGCUGGCUGCAACUGUUUAUUAAAAACACAGCACUGUGCAAACACGAAAGUGGACGUAUACGGUGUGACGCCUGCCCGGUGCCGGAAGGUUAAUUGAUGGGGUCAGCGCAAGCGAAGCUCCUGAUCGAAGCCCCGGUAAACGGCGGCCGUAACUAUAACGGUCCUAAGGUAGCGAAAUUCCUUGUCGGGUAAGUUCCGACCUGCACGAAUGGCGUAAUGAUGGCCAGGCUGUCUCCACCCGAGACUCAGUGAAAUUGAACUCGCUGUGAAGAUGCAGUGUACCCGCGGCAAGACGGAAAGACCCCGUGAACCUUUACUAUAGCUUGACACUGAACAUUGAGCCUUGAUGUGUAGGAUAGGUGGGAGGCUUUGAAGUGUGGACGCCAGUCUGCAUGGAGCCGACCUUGAAAUACCACCCUUUAAUGUUUGAUGUUCUAACGUGGACCCGUAAUCCGGGUUGCGGACAGUGUCUGGUGGGUAGUUUGACUGGGGCGGUCUCCUCCUAAAGAGUAACGGAGGAGCACGAAGGUUGGCUAAUCCUGGUCGGACAUCAGGAGGUUAGUGCAAUGGCAUAAGCCAGCUUGACUGCGAGCGUGACGGCGCGAGCAGGUGCGAAAGCAGGUCAUAGUGAUCCGGUGGUUCUGAAUGGAAGGGCCAUCGCUCAACGGAUAAAAGGUACUCCGGGGAUAACAGGCUGAUACCGCCCAAGAGUUCAUAUCGACGGCGGUGUUUGGCACCUCGAUGUCGGCUCAUCACAUCCUGGGGCUGAAGUAGGUCCCAAGGGUAUGGCUGUUCGCCAUUUAAAGUGGUACGCGAGCUGGGUUUAGAACGUCGUGAGACAGUUCGGUCCCUAUCUGCCGUGGGCGCUGGAGAACUGAGGGGGGCUGCUCCUAGUACGAGAGGACCGGAGUGGACGCAUCACUGGUGUUCGGGUUGUCAUGCCAAUGGCACUGCCCGGUAGCUAAAUGCGGAAGAGAUAAGUGCUGAAAGCAUCUAAGCACGAAACUUGCCCCGAGAUGAGUUCUCCCUGAGACUUAGAGUCUCCUGAAGGAACGUUGAAGACGACGACGUUGAUAGGCCGGGUGUGUAAGCGCAGCGAUGCGUUGAGCUAACCGGUACUAAUGAACCGUGAGGCUUAACCUU
Molecule: ribosomal RNA, 2474 nt
Filed under: Salmonella enterica subsp. enterica serovar Thompson
Lineage: Bacteria; Pseudomonadati; Pseudomonadota; Gammaproteobacteria; Enterobacterales; Enterobacteriaceae
Description: partial 23S ribosomal RNA
Rfam family: Bacterial large subunit ribosomal RNA
Source: RNAcentral